Molecule: long non-coding RNA, 1127 nt
Organism: Oncorhynchus keta (chum salmon)
Lineage: Eukaryota; Metazoa; Chordata; Actinopteri; Salmoniformes; Salmonidae
Exons: 7
Source: RefSeq, a predicted model, not a curated record
UUCGCUUGAACGCACCAAACGCUUAUAUAGCGCAGAAGACUGGCCAGCCACAUGCUUGCUCAUUCGAUUAGUCUUGUGAUCGACCUGAAGACGCCUUUCUCAAUGUCGAAGUUAUGUCUUAGAAAUGCUUCAUUGGUGUUUAACGUUAGUUAUUGGUACACUGCUGCCACUUGAGUCUUGCAAUGCUCCUGAACUGGUCAUUAACUCUCAAGUAGCUAGAUUGGUAGUUGUGGAGGGUUUGGGCCUUGCAGAACCAUGCACGUGGGGAACUGGAGAAACGUAAAACCAUUCCGGGGUUCUAGAUUCGGGAGCCCACUCCUUCUGGACCUGGCCAGGGCGGUGUGAACUGGAGCAUACCCCAUUGACUGCACAUGGCUGGAGUGAUUACCGCCCCAAUGAGUUGAUGACUAGAAGACUCAAGGUAAGACUACCACACCCAUUUCACCUAGACUUAACUUUGACAUUUUAUCGUGGUAUCCGUCUAGUCUCGUUGUGACUAAACUGAAAAUAGCUGGAAUUACCGUCAGAUUGUUUAGUGGUGAUAAUUUGGUUUUCUGAACCUGACCUGGCAGUUACUUUAAUAUUUACUUUAGUUUCUUCCCCACUCUUGAGCUGCUUCUGAAUAGAUGAUAGUAUUCAUAUUCUCAUAACCCUUGUGAUUUUGUUUUUAACAAAAGGUGUUAAACCACCCCAAUGGGUUGAUGGCAAGUAGACGAGUAUUCUGGUAAGGUGGUGUCCCUUUGAAUAACACACCUGCAAGUUCUCCCUGGACUGGACAUGUGGACGCUCCCAUCGAUACUUCAGAUUCUCUUCCACGUGGCCGGAGUUUCCAAGAUGGCCGGCGCUUCAUUUCUUCCUCUGGAAGUGAUCAACUGGAAGAAAGGAGUUGUUGUGUGGUAGCCCAUAUGGGACUCGCCUGGGACAUGGAUGCCUGAAGACCUAAGGCUCAACAUUGUUAAUAAAUAUCACCUGGGCGUAUGAGCAGCAGUGUGCAGUGGUUUCCUUUGUCUUUUCCAUGUGUGUUCUGCUUUGUUUAUUUUGAGGUUUUGCUGACUAAUGGUGUUUGUCUGUGAUUAUAGAAAAGACAGUCAAUUCUUUUUGACUUCAAUAAAUCGGUUUUAACCAUG